CCUUGCUAAGUUCUCAUAAACAGAUUAUCAGCGCAAGAUACUUUUCCAUUUAUUGUUGGGAUGCUAGUUAUUGGCAUUUUGUGACAAAAAAACUAUCGAAAACUGAAUGAUGACAACAAGGGAAUCACUCUUCAACUAAUAUGUUCGACGUCUUUCGAAAAUAAGCAUGUCAUCUUCAAAAACACUGCUAAAACAUCGGAGGGACAGAGACGGCUUCCAUGGACUAUAUACAGCUGUGUCUUUUCUGGUAUCUUGAUUCGAAAUUCAGCAUUCGGGAUCAACUCGCCGGUAACAUGAUCAGUUCGCGUCCUCUACCGACUGGCAUGGAUAAUCCACUACCAUGGUUUGCAUACUUAUGCACCCAAAAACCUUCUGUUAGAAAGACAUGAAGUAUUUUUUGAAUAUCAAACCAGGGUAAAUAAAGAGUUAAAGAGAGGGUAUAUAUAUUUAGGGAGAAGAAUAGUAAAAACAUGAUGUUUAUAGUUCAUGUCUAUCCUCAAACUGAUGCUUAGAGUUUGUGGAUCUUAUGAUAU
Prunus mume (Japanese apricot) is the source of this 533-nucleotide non-coding RNA. The record is from RefSeq and is a predicted model, not a curated record. NCBI's taxonomy places the organism in Eukaryota, Viridiplantae, Streptophyta, Magnoliopsida, Rosales, Rosaceae.